Long non-coding RNA from Ruditapes philippinarum (Manila clam), 2544 nucleotides. RefSeq lists it as uncharacterized. Lineage: Eukaryota; Metazoa; Mollusca; Bivalvia; Venerida; Veneridae. The transcript has 3 exons. The record is from RefSeq and is a predicted model, not a curated record.
UGCUCGGAAAAGAACUUAAAAAAUUUACGUAAAAUUUGUUGGAAACACUUUGCCAAUAUUUAGCUUGGAAAUUACCUCGGAUAAUUGAACUUAACUAAAUUUCAUCUCGGAAAAUGUUAAGACAUAAUCAUGAUUUAACUUAUAAUGGGCAUCAAAAGCAAUAAUCAACAGUAAAGCAAACUAAGAUAACAACCCAACUGUAGAUUGCCAAUGGAUAUUUCUUAAUCCAUGGUCAGAGCAAACAGUCCAACAGCAUGGAAAGGAGAGAUUUGGUCCAGGGAAUCAAUUUUUAGUAUGGACAUUGUCAAUGGCCAACUUCCUUUUCAAUAAAUUUGUACUUUAAUCUUCUGAAGCCAUUUUUGUGGGAGGAAUCAAUUAAAAAAAUUUAAGUGUGAAAACAUGGAAAAGUUAAAUACAAUGUAAAUUCCUUGUUGCCAUAAAAUACCUUUUCAAAUAACUGAUGAUCAGGAAGACUUAAAAAAAUUUUUUUUUAUAUUCAUAUUUUUUUUUUUAUUAUUUAUAAUUAUUGUUACUAGAUAUCUUCUCCAUUUUUAAGAAUAGAUAAAAGAGCAAAACUUAUAAUUAUACAAAAAGAAACAAUCAGUGUUUAUGUCUCUUAGUUUCUAAAUGCAUCAGUAUUUUUCCUGCAGUUUCUUUCUAUAUAUAGACUUAACUUAGGGUUUCUUGACAGCCUGUAAGCAACACUGAAAUAAGAAUGCUAUUAAUCUUUAAUAUAUGUUUUUAUGCCAUAUAAAAUAGUAUAUUCUACUAAGCAAGUCUGUGACAUACAUUCAGAUUACAAUUUACUCUGCCAUUAAUUAUGUGUACAAUAAACAUAAAUAGUUAUUAAUUGUCCUUUUAAUAUAUAAUUAUGUACAAUUAAUGUGUAAAAUAUGUAUGCUUGAUACUUUCUUAUAAUUAAGAUAAAUAAAUACUGCAUCCACUAAGUUUUCACACACAGAAUAUAACACACUGAUCAGAUAAAACUAAUGGCACCCCAGGUGGUUCCCUCUUAUAAUCUAUGCAUGAUCAAUCUUCUCAUUGAGCAUUCUGGGAUAGACCAGAUUGUUCCAUGUGAUUAUUCAGGGGGAGUCUGGGUUUUUAUACAAUCCAAAACAGUCUAAAAUGACACUGCAACUGUGAUUCUCUUAUAAUUUUCAAGUUUUACUUUUAUUUAUCAUUUGAUAUAUUUGUACCUUCAAUAAAAUUAGUGUAAAAAUAAAAUGAUGAUGGCUUUGAUAUUUUGGGAUCACCCCUGUUUCACAUUAUGAUUGCCCCUUCAGUUAUACUGUUGAAAAAUUUGAAUCUCAGACAUUAAUGGGUCAAGUGGUUAUAGUUGGAAGUAGUGCAAACCUGGAUUUAAUUUAAGCAAUUUUGGACAUAUCUUGUUUUAAAUGUUAGGGAGCAUAUUUUGGAAUUUUCAAAGAAAACAUUUAUCUAAGUGUGACAAGAUUCAGGAAAUGUUUGGUUGUUGUAAUUGAACCUAAAGAUCAAUGACCUGGGACAGGAAGAUAAACAAAAGAAACAUGAUAGUAAAAAGGUUCAGAGUCAGCUUGUAAGCAAGUUUGCAAGACUGUUCCAAACUACAAGAAGAUGGCAAUCCAGCUUUGCUGUGUUUUAUCAUAGUAUAUCAUUGGCAUCCAGGCAUCGAUUAAGGAAGCCAACUGUAGACCAGGAAAGGCUUCAAGGAAUAUACUACAGAAUUGUAUCCUGGAGCAUUUUCCACAUGUGACCCCUGUGAUGGUGAGGGAAAAACUAAGGGACAUUUCAAAAUCAUGAAGAGUGAACAGGAAUUCAAAAGAUAGAUAUUUGAAUACAUUAAAAUUAACCGGAUACCAAAAAAUUAUAACUGAACAUUGAGUGUAACAUUUACCAUUAAAGACUUCUAACUUAACUUUUCAUUUGUAGUGCAUUACUAUUUACUUCACACUGACAUUAAAUGUUUAAGUGAGUCAUGUGAUCAUUUUUUGCUCUGUAUUAUUACAAAGAAGUUUCUUAAUUCCUUAAAAGGACAAUAUAAUUGCUCUUUUCAGAAUAUUUCAUUGGAUGUUAUAUUUUCUGAUUUUCCAUGGAUAUUCUAGAAAUUUCCAAGGUUUUUGCUCAAAUAAACCUUGGAAAAUUCUCUGAUGCCCUUAAGUAAGAAUCCUCGAAAAUAUAACAGUAUUCCCAGUUGUGAUAAACUUUCCGAGGUUUUCAUUUAAAAACCUUGGAAAACAAACCACGGAAACACUUUAAAAAUCCUUGGAAAUCGUUCCAAUACUCCGAGGUCACUCAUUUUCCAAGGUUUUCUAAACAAAAUCCUCGGAAAUUAUUUUACGAGGUUUUUAUUCUGAAAUCCUUGGAAAUCGUUCCAAUACUCCGAGGUCAUACUUUUUACGAGGUUUUUUUUUAAAAAAAACUCGGAAAUUUUUUACAAGGUUUUUCACCCUCUCCCUAUUUUUCCAAGGUUUUUUUAAUAGCAAAGUUUUGCAUUUUCUUGUUCCAAUACUCCGAGGUUUUUUUCCAAGGAUUUUGAGCCAAAAACCUUGGAAAAUCUACACCCGG